This is a long non-coding RNA of Grus americana (Whooping crane), 1344 nucleotides long. RefSeq lists it as uncharacterized. The transcript is spliced from 3 exons. NCBI's taxonomy places the organism in Eukaryota, Metazoa, Chordata, Aves, Gruiformes, Gruidae. The record is from RefSeq and is a predicted model, not a curated record.
GUGAUUGAUAACCUUUUCAGGGAAGAAAUUUUUCCUACUAUCCAAUCUAAACCUCCCCUGGCAUGACUCAAGGCCAUUUCCUCUUGUCCUAUCGCUUGUUACUUGGGAGAAGAGACCAACACCCACCUGGCUACAACCUCCUUUCAGGAUCCAAAGCAGAGAGCUGGCCUGAGGAAUCUGAAGGACUUUUAACCACAAAGAUCACUGUACAUUUAUCAAAACCAACAGUUUUUCAGAUAAGAUUCCUGAAAGACAGAGGACUCAUCUUAAGAGUGUUCAUAUUUAGUUGCCUCAAGGGACACCAGCAAUAGAAAAUACUCCUUGUGUCUGACAAUUAAAGUUGCUAUGUCAGCAUAACAGUCUCAUGGUGAUAUGAGGAUAUGGACUCGAAACUUGGAACAUACUUAUUUAUAGAAGAUUUGUGGGUUUGGAUUAGCUUGGUCAUUUUUGUUUAGACUAGCAAGAAACUGCUUCAUGGGAAGCUUUAGCAUUGGUAAAUAUUUUUAAUCACAGAAACAUAUUUUCUGUAUUUGUGCCCUGGUUAGCCUCUAAUGUUACAAGUAGUAUUCCACCACUUUCCUGAGAAGAUUGUUUCAUGGCCUAAAACUUCGAUUGGAGAGUUUUAUAAUUUAUUGUUUACACUGUGAUAUGAAUUCAUUGUGGACUUCUGAUGAAAACAAGGUUGUGGUCAUUAAGGGGGGAUGCACAUCACGUAAUUUAGAAGCCUGCAGCAUAAAUAGCUGCAGCUGGCUGGGUGGGUGAAUUCCAUUUAAAGUCAAUAGAGAGGCGGAGGCAUUUUUAGAGUACUACCUCUAACAUAUUUUAGAUGUUUACUUCAGAAAAAGAGGUGUGGCAUCCAAUGCUCCACCAGCUAUGUUUAGUAGUUAUCUACUGACUCCAUUAAGCCUGGGAAACUAGACUCUGCAUCCUGAAUUGUAGAAGUCUAAUGAGUCUUAUCCAGAAAAGUACAUGCAAAUCACAGAGAUGAUGAGAACAAUCUGCAAGGAUAUUAUGUGAUACUAAUUUGCAAAUUAUAUAGGCCCAUGAUUAGGCCAUUUGGCUGUUCCAGACUGCUGGCCAGUGGGGAAGAAAGGACAAUAUAUACUUUGCACAGCUGGAGCAAAAUGCUCAUGUGGAUGCUGGGACGGUGAAGAGAGACAGAAAAUGAUGAAAAUUAUGUAAGUCAUGAUGCAGGUAAUUCUCCAUCACAGGAAAGCUUUUUGAGACCCCUGUGUUAUGUGAGAUGAUAAGCAGGUACCUGCUGGCAGGAGAAUACUGCAUCAGAGGCUCAAGAAAAAAUCAUCUGGAAAACAGAAGAGUUGGAAUAAUGAAAAAAAAAGUGUC